GACGAACGCUGGCGGCGUGCUUAACACAUGCCAGUCGAACGGAAAGGCCCUGCUUUUGUGGGGUGCUCGAGUGGCGAACGGGUGAGUAACACGUGAGUAACCUGCCCUUGACUUUGGGAUAACUUCAGGAAACUGGGGCUAAUACCGGAUAGGAGCUCAUGCUGCAUGGUGGGGGUUGGAAAGUUUCGGCGGUUGGGGAUGGACUCGCGGCUUAUCAGCUUGUUGGUGGGGUAGUGGCUUACCAAGGCUUUGACGGGUAGCCGGCCUGAGAGGGUGACCGGCCACAUUGGGACUGAGAUACGGCCCAGACUCCUACGGGAGGCAGCAGUGGGGAAUAUUGCACAAUGGGCGGAAGCCUGAUGCAGCAACGCCGCGUGCGGGAUGACGGCCUUCGGGUUGUAAACCGCUUUCGCCUGUGACGAAGCGUGAGUGACGGUAAUGGGUAAAGAAGCACCGGCUAACUACGUG
This 468-nucleotide ribosomal RNA is filed under the name uncultured bacterium. Its description in RNAcentral is "partial 16S ribosomal RNA". It matches the Rfam family "Bacterial small subunit ribosomal RNA", at positions 28 to 507 of the family's 1533-position model. The record is from RNAcentral.